GAGCGAACGGACGAGAAGCUUGCUUCUCUGAUGUUAGCGGCGGACGGGUGAGUAACACGUGGAUAACCUACCUAUAAGACUGGGAUAACUUCGGGAAACCGGAGCUAAUACCGGAUAAUAUUUUGAACCGCAUGGUUCAAAAGUGAAAGACGGUCUUGCUGUCACUUAUAGAUGGAUCCGCGCUGCAUUAGCUAGUUGGUAAGGUAACGGCUUACCAAGGCAACGAUGCAUAGCCGACCUGAGAGGGUGAUCGGCCACACUGGAACUGAGACACGGUCCAGACUCCUACGGGAGGCAGCAGUAGGGAAUCUUCCGCAAUGGGCGAAAGCCUGACGGAGCAACGCCGCGUGAGUGAUGAAGGUCUUCGGAUCGUAAAACUCUGUUAUUAGGGAAGAACAUAUGUGUAAGUAACUGUGCACAUCUUGACGGUACCUAAUCAGAAAGCCACGGCUAACUACGUGCCAGCAGCCGCGGUAAUACGUAGGUGGCAAGCGUUAUCCGGAAUUAUUGGGCGUAAAGCGCGCGUAGGCGGUUUUUUAAGUCUGAUGUGAAAGCCCACGGCUCAACCGUGGAGGGUCAUUGGAAACUGGAAAACUUGAGUGCAGAAGAGGAAAGUGGAAUUCCAUGUGUAGCGGUGAAAUGCGCAGAGAUAUGGAGGAACACCAGUGGCGAAGGCGACUU
RNAcentral lists this ribosomal RNA (681 nucleotides) under uncultured Staphylococcus sp. RNAcentral's name for it is "bacterial SSU rRNA". It matches the Rfam family "Bacterial small subunit ribosomal RNA", at positions 64 to 727 of the family's 1533-position model. The record is from RNAcentral. Lineage: Bacteria; Bacillati; Bacillota; Bacilli; Caryophanales; Staphylococcaceae.